This 235-nucleotide ribosomal RNA is filed under the name uncultured bacterium. RNAcentral's name for it is "partial 16S ribosomal RNA". It matches the Rfam family "Bacterial small subunit ribosomal RNA", at positions 99 to 334 of the family's 1533-position model. The record is from RNAcentral.
CGGACGGGUGAGUAACGCGUGGGUAACCUGCCUUGUACAGGGGGAUAACAGUUGGAAACGGCUGCUAAUACCGCAUAAGCGCACAGCAUCGCAUGAUGCAGUGUGAAAAACUCCGGUGGUAUAAGAUGGACCCGCGUUGGAUUAGCUAGUUGGUGAGGUAACGGCCCACCAAGGCAACGAUCCAUAGCCGACCUGAGAGGGUGACCGGCCACAUUGGGACUGAGACACGGUCCAA